GUCGAACGGUGUCUUCGGACAUAGUGGCGCACGGGUGCGUAACACGUAUGCAACCUACCUUACAUUGGGGGAUAGCCUUUCGAAAGGGAGAUUAAUACCGCAUAAGACAGUAGCUGGGCAUCCAGCAGCUGUUAAAGAUUUAUCGAUGUAAGCUGGGCAUGCGUCCAAUUAGCUAGUUGGUGAGGUAACGGCUCACCAAGGCUAUGAUUGGUAGGGGAACUGAGAGGUCAAUCCCCCACACUGGCACUGAGAUACGGGCCAGACUCCUACGGGAGGCAGCAGUAGGGAAUAUUGGGCAAUGGACGCAAGUCUGACCCAGCCAUGCCGCGUGCAGGAUGAAGGCGUUAUGCGUUGUAAACUGCUUUUAUACAGGAAGAAACGACUCUUGCGAGAGGCAUUGACGGUACUGUAUGAAUAAGCACCGGCUAACUCCGUGCCAGCAGCCGCGGUAAUACGGAGGGUGCAAGCGUUGUCCGGAUUUAUUGGGUUUAAAGGGUGCGCAGGUGGUUUAUUAAGUCAGUGGUGAAAGACGGUCGCUCAACGAUUGCAGUGCCAUUGAUACUGGUAGACUUGAGUAAAGUAGAGGUGGGCGGAAUUGAUAGUGUAGCGGUGAAAUGCAUAGAUAUUAUCAAGGACUCCAAUUGCGUAGGCAGCUCACUUGGCUUUUACUGACACUCAUGCACGAAAGUGUGGGUAUCAAACAGGAUUAGAUACCCUGGUAGUCCACACUGUAAACGAUGAUAACUAGGU
RNAcentral lists this ribosomal RNA (750 nucleotides) under uncultured bacterium. RNAcentral's name for it is "bacterial SSU rRNA". It matches the Rfam family "Bacterial small subunit ribosomal RNA", at positions 61 to 821 of the family's 1533-position model. The record is from RNAcentral.